RNAcentral lists this long non-coding RNA (4283 nucleotides) under Marmota monax (woodchuck). Lineage: Eukaryota; Metazoa; Chordata; Mammalia; Rodentia; Sciuridae. The record is from RNAcentral.
CAAUAGCAAAGUCCGGACCGUUUCCACGGCAUUAUGGAAGGGGUCUUGGAAGGACUAGAGAAACGGAGUCAGAGUAUCCGAGCCCGGGAGGCCAUCAACUCUCUAUGGGGGGUCGAGGCCAACUUCACCUCUACUUCGGUUUCCGGGUUUGUGAUACGCAGAGGCAGCUGGGCUGCCCAGUGUUCUAAGAGGACUUGGGGAGGCUGGGCGAUAGAAAGGUUAUUAGCUAGCACGCUCUGUACCCAGCCCGUAGGUCUGGGCGUUCCCGCCCUCGCCCGACUUUCUCGCCCCGGGCUGGGAAGGUGGAGAAAAACUCUCCAUUCUCACCCCACUUCCUGUUUGCUGGGUGCACUCUGUGACCAUAGAUGGUCAGGUCUGGGUCUGUGCGGAAGCCGCCGCCUAGCAGCUGCAGUCCUUCCUCCCGGCGCGCAGGGUGUGGUUCCUGAGAAUAAGAUGAGCUGAAUGAGGAAAUUCUGUCUCAUUACGCAAAAAUCCGGUUUCUGAGGCAUCCUUGCUCCAGGCAGGUAUACCCAGUCCUCUGCUAAUAAAUCCGAGGGCGAUUUAGCGUUGCAGCCUGCGGGAAAAACUUCGCUUCCUUGCUCCUUGGACCGGUGAUUGCAUAUUUGUUCCUUCUGGGCUCACACUUUCCCAACCGGUCGUUAUCCUCCCACAUGAUUUAUUUCUAGAAAAAAAAUUGGUAAGUGCUACAGUUCCCACCCCUUCAACCGAAUGCCUGUGACAGCUCCGUGUUCAAGUGGAAUGCAGGUAUUAUAUGCCAGAGUCAUUCAACAAAUAUAGUUCUUAUAAUAAUAGUUACCAUUUUCUGUGCAGUGACUACACUCCAGGCCUGUGCUGAAUGCUUCAAACGCCAUUUCGUUUAAUUCUAAAAGCAUCUCUGUUCUAUGCCCUCAGGUUUUCAAAUAAGGAAGCUGAAUAAUUUGCCAAGCAAGGUCAUAAAGUAACUGUUGGAACUUUGAAGGGAACACAUCUGACUCUAACCCCCUUGAGUUUAACCCAUAUGAAAGACCAUACUGGAAUUAUUUGAGGUAGUGAAAGCCUCUGCAUCUGGAGAUCUCAGGUUCAACAUCUCAGUCCUAGCCUGAGCCCUUUACUAGGGGUCAGACUUUACUCGAUUACCUUGGGCCUCUUCCCAAUUUUAUAACUUCCAGUAUGUUUAAAAGAAAAAUGACAACAUGAGAAAGUAUGGUACAAAAAUUGUAGUACAUUUUUUAAUUUACAUUUAACCCAAAACACUGUCUCACAGUACACACUAACUAUAUUUGGACAACAUUGGCAUGUCAAAUUUAGGCUGGGCAUAGUCUUUUUUUUUUUUUCUUUUUAUUUGUUCUUUUUAGAUACACAUGACAGUAGGAUGUAUUUUGGCAUAUUAUACAUACAUAAAGUAUAACUUAUUCUAAUUAGGAUCCUAUUCUUGUGGUUGUACAUGAUGCAGAGUUAUUCUGGUCAUGUAUUCAAAUACAAAGAUAGGAAAGUUAUGUCCCAUUAAUUCUACUAUCAUUCCUAUUUCCCUCAGACAGAACAUUCAGCCUUUGGUUUUGGGGGACUGUUUUAUUUCAUUAGCAUGAUAUUCUCCAACUCCAUCCAUUUACUGGCAAAUGCCAUAAUUCCACUUUUCUUUAAAGCUGAGUAAUAUUCCAUUGAGUAUAUACACCACAUUUUCUUUAUCCAUUCAUCUAUUGAAGGACACCUAGGUUUGUUCCAUAGCUUGGCUAUUAUGAAUUGAGCUACUAUAAACAUUGAUGUGGCUGCGUCACUGUACUAUGCUGAUUUUAAGUUCUUUGCGUAUAGACUGAGGAGUAGGAUAGCUGGGUCAAUGGUGGUUCCAUUCCAAGUUUUCUAAGGAAUCUCCAUAUUGCUUUCCAUAGUGAUUGCAUCAAUUUGCAGUCCCAUGAGAAAUGUAUGAGAAUACCUUUCUCCCCACAUCCUCACCACAUUUAUUGUUACUUGUAUUCUUUAUAAUUGCUAUUCUGGAGUGAGUUGGCAGUCUUACAGGCCUAUAAUCCUAGGGACUGGGAAGGCCUCAUCAGAAGAUCACAAGGUGGAAGCCAGCCUCAACAAUUUAGUGAGAUUCUCUCAAAAUAUAAAAGGGCUGGGGAUAUAGCUCAGUGGAAGAGUGUUCCUGGGUUUAAUCCCCAACAGAAGGCAAAAAGAAGAAAGGUUAAGUGUAUGUGAAACCCAGGGCAAAUAGCCCCACUAGCCCUUGUAAUCUUCGUUUUACAUUUAACCCUUCCAAAUCUCUUUCUGUGAUAGGGAUACAAAAUGCACAGACCAUACAUGCAUCCUAAAGGAAGAGGAGAGAGGAGGAAAUGGGAAGAAGAAAGAAAGAAAGGAAGCUUCCUCAUCUAUAAAAUGGAGAUGGUAAUUCAUGGGGUUGUAAAGAGAAACAGAAGCAAUAAUCCAUGUGAAACCACUCUGUAAAAUAAUUGUUUGUGAAAAGUGCACAUAAGUCAUAACUCCUACCUCUCAGGAUAUUCUCUUUUAAGGAGUCUAGACCCAUACACUUGUAACUCCAGAGCAAGAUAGUUUAAGAACAAUAUCUGGUUUGUGUAGUGGUGCGUUCCUGUAACCCUGGCUACUCUCCUGGCUGAGGCAGGAGAAUCACAAGUUCAAAAAUAGUCUGGAUAAUUUUGGAAAAACUUGUCUCAAAAUUUUUGAAAAGAGAUGGGGAUGUAGCUCAGUGAUAGAGUGUUUGCCUAGUAUGUUUGAGGCCUGGGUUUAUUCCCCAGACUCCAACAUCUGUCACUUUUAUUCAUUCAUUUAUUUAUUUAUACAGUAAAAUAAGUUUGUUGAAUUAUUUCUAUGUAUCAUUUAACCAAGGAUACUGCAGUAUCCUUAGUCAGACCCUGUUGCUGCCUUCAAAAAGUAUGUAGUCUAUUCUGGAAACAGGUAUUACCAUCUGGGGUUGUCAUCAAAUGUGCUGACUUCUGGCUUCCAGCUUUUUCUUCCUCACUCAUCUUGCCCUGUGCCUAGCAAAGUGCUUCAUCUAUAGUGUGCUCUCAUCAGUGAAUGCCUUGAAUUCAGAAGAGUCAUUUCCUGUACUGAGAUGGAUACAUAAAACACUGCAGACCAUGAAUAAACAAUAUUGGAGAUGGGAAACUGUGUCAGGCUGAAGUGAGAGGUCCCUGUAGAAGAAUAGGAGAUAAGGCUUUAAAAAAAAAAUUGAACAAACUGUACAGGAAGGAGAAAUAAAAACUUUAAAGUGAAAGCAAGGAGGAGCUUGUAUUUUACAAAUUAUAGCUUCAGUGUAUAGAAUGGGCUUGAGUGGCAAAAUAAAAAAAAAACAGGAAGACUUAUUAGAUGAUAGAUACAAUGAUCUAGGAAGGAUCUGAAUCAAAGCUGUGGUAUACACAGCAAAGGGGCCAAUUCAGAAGACACCAUUCUUUUUUUUUUUUUUUUUUUUUUUUUUUUAAAUUUUUUUAAUAUUUAUUUUGUAGUUUUCAGUGGAUACAUCUUUGUUUGUAUGUGGUGCUGAGGAUCGAACCCGGGCCGCACGCAUGCCAGGCGAGCGCGAUACCGCUUGAGCCACAUCCCCAGCCCCCAGAAGACACCAUUCUUAUGAAAGGAAUAAUGAGGGUGAUGAUAGGAAGAGGACAAGUGAAAAGGAAGUGAUUUGAAUAUGAUUCUUCAGAUUAGAUCUGGCCCCAGGUGCUGUGGUUUGAAUGUUUGUUCCCCUCCAAAAUUCAUAUUAAAAUUUAGUCACCAAUUAAGAGGCUUGUAGGAAAUGAUUUGGCAAUGAGAACUCUGCCCUCAUGGGUGGGAUUAGGGUCUUAUGAGAGGAUUGAGGAAACUAGUAAGGCCCUUUUGCCUUUCUCCCUUCUACCAUGUGAUGAUGCAGCAUUAAAGCACCAUAAUGGAAGUUGAAAGCAGGUCCUCUACCAGGCCCUAAAUCUACUGGCACCUUGAUUUGAAUUUCUAGUCUACAGAACUAUGAGAAAUAAAUAUAUGCUUUUUAUAAACAAUUUAGUCUUUGGUAUUUUGUUAGUAUCAGGAAGAGCUAAGACACCAGGUAUUCACUCUCAUUUGAUACUACUUUUCUUUUGUCACAGGUAUUACAUCCUCAUUAUAUAUGCAAUUAUCUUUCAUAUCUUUCUCCCCUGUAAGUUUCUUCCUCCCUAUAAGUCCUUGUCUACCUGAAAAAAAUGGUACUCAAUAAAUAUUUGUAGGAAAAAUUGACUAAAUGGAAAAAGUGAGAGGGGCCAAGGAUUUCUGAGCCUUGGAAUCUCAGUGAUGGAAGGAGUGAGGGGAAGAGGAGUGAUUCUGGA